This is a non-coding RNA of Acanthosepion pharaonis, 104 nucleotides long. The record is from the annotation of a GenBank genome assembly. Lineage: Eukaryota; Metazoa; Mollusca; Cephalopoda; Sepiida; Sepiidae.
UUACGACCAUAGCACGAUGAAGCACCGAUUCCCGUACGAUUACUAAUGUUAAGCAAGGUCGAUACUGAUGAGUACCUAGAUGGGGGACCGUUUGGGAAUGCUAG